This 1362-nucleotide long non-coding RNA is filed under the name Struthio camelus australis. RNAcentral describes it as "lncRNA (ENSSCUG00000016659.1)". The record is from RNAcentral. Lineage: Eukaryota; Metazoa; Chordata; Aves; Struthioniformes; Struthionidae.
UCACCCUUUCUCUGAAAUAUCUUGAGUGGAACCGACACCACGUGUUUGAGAGGGCCACAGCAAAGACAGCUGGAACGUGAAAUCAUGGAGCCAUUUGUCUACUUUGUUGUAUUUUCCCCGGAAGACUGCCGGGGUGAGACUUGAAGCUUUCCCCUUCUCCCAAGGGGCCUCAGAGCAAUAAUUCACCUGGCACAAAGCCUGGCUGCAUAAAGCAGCUUCUGAACCUUUCCCAGGAAGCACUUUAUGCCAUGAAGUCCGUGCCUUUUUUUGUCAGCAGGUUUGAGUCAUUUGCUCAAUACUGCAGAGGGCUGGUGAGCAGCUAGUGGCAACCACACCGCAGCCUGUGGCUUCGCCGGGAGUGCCUGCCAGCCUCUUGGCACGCGCGCAGCGCCGAGAUAAGCUGCAGAAGCAUCGAGCAAAUAUAUUGCUUUCAGAGUUUUGCGGCACUGCCCAAUGUCAAGGAUUAAAACUCCUUUGGAGGAGCGGAGCUCUGCUCCGCCAAAUCCCCUUCUCAUGGUCACUUGAGGAUGUGGUACCAGUAGUGGGAAGCUGGAGGGAUUAAGCUGAGAACAGAACUCUGACACCGCAAGGAUGGGCCACCUCUGGAAAAAGGGGCAGAACUAAACGAUCCCGUCUUUGCCAGGAAACAGAAAAGAUGCAUGUUAUGGCCGUAUCUAAAUUUAACACUAGCAUAAGCCAUGUUAUUCAUGAUUCAUGCAGAAAACGGAAACAAUAUAUUCUUUCUUAGACCUUAACUCUAUAUGGUCUGCUGUUUGGAUGCUUAAUAUCUCAACUUGAAAACAGCAUAAAUGUAAAUUGGUUUAUGAGCAGUAAAGCAUAACUUUUAUAGCAACUGAUGGUAUUUGAAAAGCAAGAGGAAGUAAUUAUCAUUGUUUGUAUCAGCCAUUGCCUUGCAACUACUGUGCAAUUAUGUUCUUGGAUAAUUGAUGUUUCGUAACAGACUGCAUUUUUUCCUUCUAAAAUGUCUCAACUUUGUAUCUUUUAUUUGUUGCAGUGUGAAAAAUCUCGCACAAAGGCAGAUAAAAUCUUAAAAGUUGGGAAACAGGUAAAGGACAAGGUGCUUGCAGAGACAAGCGUGGAAGUUGUGGGCUAUGGGAUGAGUCCUGCACAGUGGAGAAGGUAGGCUUGUUUCUUCCAGUUGUCUUGUUUACUUGUUUUAUUUUAAGUCUAGCUGCUGUUUCCUUUUUUUCCUUGGAGAGGAGUGGUUCCCCUGCAAGAGGGUGACCCCAAAUCUGUAGGAGGGGUGAGCUGGGGCCUCAGAGAAGAAGGGUGAGUGCCCACCACUGAGUAGGCUUGGGAGGUUCAGGUUGGGUGUUAGGGAGUGCCUCUUUCUGCAGAAGA